This 253-nucleotide ribosomal RNA is filed under the name uncultured bacterium. RNAcentral describes it as "partial 16S ribosomal RNA". It matches the Rfam family "Bacterial small subunit ribosomal RNA", at positions 524 to 776 of the family's 1533-position model. The record is from RNAcentral.
GACGAAGGGGGCUAGCGUUGUUCGGAAUUACUGGGCGUAAAGCGAGUGUAGGUGGUUGUCCAAGUUGGAUGUGAAAGCCUUGAGCUCAACUCAAGAAAUGCAUUCAGGACUGGGCGGCUAGAGGACCGGAGAGGAUAGUGGAAUUCCCGGUGUAGUGGUGAAAUACGUAGAGAUUGGGAAGAACACCAGUGGCGAAAGCGCUCUACUGGACGGUAUCUGACACUGAGGGACGAAAGCUAGGGGAGCGAAUGGG